CGGUUGAUCCUGCCGGAGGUUACUGCUAUCGGGGUCCGACUAAGCCAUGCGAGUUGAGAGGGGUAAGCCCUCGGCAUACUGCUCAGUAACACGCGGAUAACCUGCCCUUGGGUCCGGGAUAACCCCGGGAAACUGGGACUAAUACCGGAUAGAUCAGAGAUACUGGAAUGUUCUCUGGUUCAAAACUCCGGUGCCCAAGGAUGGGUCUGCGGCCUAUCAGGUAGUAGUGGGUGUAACGUACCUACUAGCCAGCGACGGGUAAGGGUUGUGAGAGCAAGAUCCCUGAGAUGGAUUCUGAGACAUGAAUCCAGGCCCUACGGGGUGCAGCAGGCGCGAAAACUUUACACUGCGGGAAACCGCGAUAAGGGGACCCCGAGUGCCAGCACCUAGUGCUGGCUGUCCUACUGUCUAAAUAACAGUGGUUAGCAAGGGCCGGGCAAGACCGGUGCCAGCCGCCGCGGUAACACCGGCGGCCCGAGUGGUAACCGUUUUUAUUGGGUUUAAAGGGUCCGUAGCCGGCUUAUUAAGUCUCUUGGGAAAUCUGGCGGCUCAAUCGUCAGGCGUCCAAGAGAUACUGGUAGGCUUGGGACCGGGAGAGGUGGGAGGUACUCCCGGGGUAGGGGUAAAAUCUCGUAAUCCUUGGGGGACCACCGAUGGCGAAGGCAUCCCACCAGAACGGGUCCGACGGUGAGGGACGAAAGCUGGGGGAGCGAACCGGAUUAGAUACCCGGGUAGUCCCAGCUGUAAACGAUGCGGGCUAGGUGUCAGGUGCGGUGCGACUGCAUCUGGUGCCGCAGGGAAAACUUGAAGCGAGUCACCUGGGGAGUACGGCCGCAAGGCUGAAACUUAAAGGAAUUGGCGGGGGAGCACCACAAGNGGGUGAAGCUUGCGGUUUAAUUGGAGUCAACGCCGGGAACCUUACCGGGCGCGACAGCAGGAUGAAAGCCAGAUUGAAGGUCUUGCUGGACGAGCUGAGAGGAGGUGCAUGGCCGUCGCCAGUUCGUGCCGUGAGGUGUCCUGUUAAGUCAGGCAACGAUCGAGACCCACACCCUCUGUUGCUACUGAGGAGUUUUCCAAGGGGCACUCUGGGGGGACUGCCGCCGAUAAGGUGGAGGAAGGAGUGGGCCACGGCAGGUCAGUAUGCCCCGAAUCGCCCGGGCCACACGCGAGCUGCAAUGGCUGGGACAAUGGGUUCCGACCCCGAGAGGGGAAGGUAAUCCCGAAACCCGGCCUCAGUUUGGAUCGAGGGCUGAAACCCGUCCUCGUGAAAAUGGAAUCCCUAGUAAUCGUGCGUCAUCAGCGCGCGGUGAAUACGUCCCUGCUCCUUGCACACACCGCCCGUCGUUCCACUCGAGUGGGUUUAGGAUGAGGCAUGGUCUUUUUUGGCUGUGUCGAAUCUUAGGUUCGCGAGAGGGGAAAAGUCGUAACAAGGUAGCC
Molecule: ribosomal RNA, 1437 nt
Filed under: uncultured archaeon
Lineage: Archaea
Description: bacterial SSU rRNA
Rfam family: Archaeal small subunit ribosomal RNA
Source: RNAcentral